UUUGCUAUAGGGCAGAAAGUGACAACACUGUAAAUCAACUACAAAAAAAAUUUUUUUUUAGGAAAAAAAAAACUUACUAUCUUUUAAAAUCUGCAUUUAAUGUGUUAAGUAUGACUCCCUAUUUCAUGGAGGAGAAACCUGCCCAGGGAGCAAGUGGCAGAGCUGGGAUUCCAACCAGCCUGACUUCUAAACCCAGGCUGUAAUUCAGAAAUGCAGCAGGAUCACCUCUCAGCACAAUAAAGCCCUAAAGAAGCCCAGAGGCCUACUGCUCCCUAGCACCCAUCAAGUGGCUCCAGAAAGGGGAAGCCAGGAUCUGAGUCCGCUGCUGUCAGAAAUGAAGAAAUCAGGGCGAAAAUGAAUGGCAGGGUGAGAGGAUGAGUGUCAUCCUGUUCUUUGCGGAAAGGCCCACAGCCUUAAAAGGUCACACCCAAGACCAGCCUUGAUCUACUCACACACUUACAGACCAGCCCACUCAGCUGAGAGAGAGUGGGAGAGGGGACAGUGGCAAAGUGACACACGUCUGCAGUUAAAUCAGCCAGAGGGGCAGUUCUUCAGCCCCAAGAACCACCUGACUGGCAGCUGAGACAUCUGGGUUCCGUUCCAAAUUCUCUGGAAGUUUGAGCAAGUCAUUUCUCCUCUCUGGGCAUCACACAUUCACGGCUAAACUGGGGGUGCUGUGUGUGUGUAUACUUAAGUAUUCAUUCUGCUCUAACAUUCUUAGACUCCAGGACUCUAAAUGAAUGACAACGAGCUAGCUGAUGAAAAUGGCUACUGCACAAACAGCCCGAUGCUUUAGACCAACGAUCAAGAAACCAAGAGAAGGACAAGAAAUCUGUGAAAGUGGCUACAUCCAUGAAGAUGCCCUGACCAACAGGAAGCUACUGUGCAUCUUUCAACAGGAUGCGGAAGAUAGAUGAAAAUCCAAGACAACAGGCAAGCAGGACAGGCCCUUCUUUCUGGGGGUCAGGCAUCAUUUCUGUGUCCAGAGAGAAGUCAUGGCUUAAACAUUGCUUGAGUCACUCUCUCCAGCCUUCUCCAUCCCAUUUCCCUUCCUAGCUAGGCCACCAAAAGCUCGGGCUGGGUCAGCUCUAACAGUCUACAAAACCUCGUCCCCCUUCAUUUAUGCUUGCCCUCUCCAAUCCACCCCACACCCUGCAAAGCGGUCCCUCUAGAAGGCAAAUCGGGGUGUGCCAGUCUCCCCUAAAGCCUUUCUGUUGCUCUCAGGACAAAGCCCUGCUGUCUCCCCAGCACCAUCACCAUCCUCUCUGCCCAACAAGCUCCUGAUGUAACAACCAGUUUCUCAAAAGAGGUGGGUUCCCCCCACUUCUGAUCUCCAGGUCCCCGCAGAGGCGUCACUUCCUCUGGAAAUUCUCCUGUGACCCCUCUGUGGACUGGGUGGGUCCUGCCCUGGACUCCAGGAAGCCCUGCCCCUUCCUCAUCACAGCACUUACAGCGGAUUCACUGUAAAUUCCUGUUUUCUGGUCCAUCCCUCCCCACCAGACUAUAAGUGUUUUUUGUUUGUUUUUGGCCACCCGGAGGCACUUGGAAGUUCCCAGGGCCAGGGAUCAGAUCUUAACUCACUGUGCCAGGUGGGGAUGGAACCUGUAUUCUAGUGCUGCAGAGACUGCUGAUCCCACUGCACCACAGCGGGAACUCCCAGACUAUAGGCGUUAAGGAGGCAGAAACUACAUCUGUCUUGUAGCCAGCUGUAUUCCAGCACCUAGCAGAGUGCCUGGCACACAGUAUGAAUUUUUAUAAACAAAUAAAAGUCUUUGGGAGUUCCUGUCGUGGCACAGAGGAAACGAAUCUGACUAGGAACCCCACGACGGGAACUCCUCCUCCUUCUUUUUAAAAGAGGCAUGUCCAGACAGGGCACUGCUGGAACAAUGAUGUAUGGUCUGGUUACGCGCACUAUUUCCACAGACGCUGCUGGCACCCCUCGUAAAUUGUGACAAGAUAGAAAGGCAGACCACUGGUUACCCUUCAAGAGUGGGGGAAAAUGCACAAUGUAGGAUUUAAAGAGAAAGUACUAAGAGAUGGACUAUUGCAGCAAUUUCCUAGCGCAGAGCUGAAGUUCAAGAGCAGCAGGAACAAUUGCAGCAGCAGCGACAGAGGAGGAGAACACAGUCCCGUCAAAAAAGACAUUUAAAACCACUACAUUUCAGGACCAGAAAUAAUGCGCUUCAAAGAAACACACAGCAUAAAUAGCUUUUACACAAAUCUUUGCCAGGGGAACAGAAAGCCACCAAAGGACAGGGUGGAUUGUGAAAUGAGCCACAUACGCAGGAGACGGAAGUUAAUUAAAGGAAGAGCCAGGCAGUUCCUUGAAAAACAAUUUAGCCAAAACAAAGACUGAAAAACAAACACGCUGUAACACAUACAGUGUCUUGGCCAAACAAAAAGAAAGAAACACUCACACAUACACAAACACUGCAGUCCAUACAAAAGGGGUACAAGUUCCCAGAAUUUCCCAGAGAGCAGGCCAUGCAAACAGGCAAACAACAGAUGUGGCUUCAGUCUUAAUUAAAUGCGGGAGUUGAAAAUCAAGCCAAGCUAGGACAUCUAAAUAAACUCCUCCCAUCAUGUUUCUCCUUUCAAAGGAAAGGAUACAAUUCUUACAUUAUUUUCUACUUUUAACGACUUAAUUUUAAUUUUUUGUUUUGUUUUCAGAAGGUCAGACUCCAUCCUAUGUAGCAGGUAUACAACACUGCAGAAGCUCCCAGUUUCAGCACCACCUUUCAACCACCUGGGAGCCUUAAACUCCUGCCACCCAGACCCCUCCCCCGGAGUUUCUGAUUUAAUUGACGUAGGGUUUUCAAUAGUUCCCAGCAGGAUUCUCAUAUGCAGAUGAGGCGGAGAACCAUAGUCAUUUCUCAGUCAGGCAGGGCAGGUUCUCGGUUUCUGGAACAGAUAAUGAAGCUGGGGAAACUCAAACUGGACUGUUCUAUCAGAAAGCCUCACUAUAAUUUCUAAAAGGACAGCAUUUCCCCCCCUGCUCUUCCAUCCUCCUUCUUAAUGACUGGAUUCUUCAAAAAAAAGCCUACCCCUCAGUCGGCCCCUCCGGCCGAGCCAGGGGAGAGGCGCACGUCCACUCCUUCACCUCCUGCCUGGUCUAGGAUUCAGCAGAAGUGCAUCUGUCAGGGUGGUAAUUAAUCUCUAGGAAGGGGGCUGCCUGCACUUAAGGCAGGGGCCCUCCCUCCUUGCCGUUCUGUGUCUGAAAGGCCGCAGUGCCAUCGCUAAAUCAAAACGCUGCCUGACAAAACCCUAACGGGGCUUCUAAGUGGAGAAAGUCAUUCCCUAUGAUGCAUCUAAGGCGACAAUGCCAAAAAGCCCAUUAGUUCAGAUGAGUGUACAGGGAACCAGCAUAAACACAGGACAUGACAAGAAAGUCACUCACAUCUUAUCCAGACGCUCCUAAUGAUAAGUGGCUCACAUAACUAAUGAGGCCACCUCCCUCCACCUCCUGACUGUGGAGUGACAGGCACCAGGGCUUACGUUUGGUGAAAGCCUCAUUCUUUCAAUAUGUAUUCUCAACAGGGCGGCUUCCUUCAUCCACCCACAGAAAACGGUGUGUUCUGCACAACAGAGUCGACUCUAAUCCACAUACGCUGCCGCUCCUUUCCUGUGAUCUAUUAGCAUUUUAUACACAUUUUUGUUAUUAGACAGAAGUGAAGUGGAAGUUGCAUUUUAGAAUAAUUCUCUACGAAAGCAAGGACCUUAGUCUACCAUGUUCAUCGCUACAGCCUGAGCUCCUACAAGUGCCCAGCAUACAGACGGCACUUAAUAUAAGUUGAAUGAAAGAAAAAGCAUCUGCUAGGAGUUCCUGUUGUGGCCCAACUAGCAUCCAUGAGGAUGUGGGCUGAGCCCUGGCCUAGCUCAGUCGGGUCUGGGGGAUCUGGCACUGCCAUGAGCUAUGGAUCCCUGCGUUGCUGUGAGGUAGGUUGCAGACGAAGCUGGGAUCCCGUGUUGCUGUGGCUGGGGUGUAGGCCGGCAGCUGUAGCUAUGAUUCGACCCCUAGCCUGGGAACUUCCACAUGCUGCAGGCGUGGCCCUAAAAAAGCAAAAAAAAAAAAAAAAAA
This 4078-nucleotide long non-coding RNA is filed under the name Sus scrofa (pig). RNAcentral's name for it is "lncRNA (ENSSSCG00060044916.1)". The record is from RNAcentral. Lineage: Eukaryota; Metazoa; Chordata; Mammalia; Artiodactyla; Suidae.